RNAcentral lists this ribosomal RNA (468 nucleotides) under uncultured bacterium. RNAcentral's name for it is "partial 16S ribosomal RNA". It matches the Rfam family "Bacterial small subunit ribosomal RNA", at positions 28 to 507 of the family's 1533-position model. The record is from RNAcentral.
GACGAACGCUGGCGGCGUGCUUAACACAUGCAAGUCGAACGGAAAGGCCCUGCUUUUGUGGGGUGCUCGAGUGGCGAACGGGUGAGUAACACGUGAGUAACCUGCCCUUGACUUUGGGAUAACUUCAGGAAACUGGGGCUAAUACCGGAUAGGAGCUCCUGCUGCAUGGUGGGGGUUGGAAAGUUUCGGCGGUUGGGGAUGGACUCGCGGCUUAUCAGCUUGUUGGUGGGGUAGUGGCUUACCAAGGCUUUGACGGGUAGCCGGCCUGAGAGGGUGACCGGCCACAUUGGGACGGAGGUACGGCCCAGACUCCUACGGGAGGCAGCAGUGGGGAAUAUUGCACAAUGGGCGGAAGCCUGAUGCAGCAACGCCGCGUGCGGGAUGACGGCCUUCGGGUUGUAAACCGCUUUCGCCUGUGACGAAGCGUGAGUGACGGUAAUGGGUAAAGAAGCACCGGCUAACUACGUG